GUGAGGUGGAGCAAAACUCAAAAAAUGAUCUCAGUUCGGACUGUAGGCUGCAACUCGCCUACACGAAGUUGGAAUUGCUAGUAAUCGUGGAUCAGCAUGCCACGGUGAAUACGUUCCCGGGUCUUGUACACACCGCCCGUCACACCAUGGGAGCUGGUAACACCCGAAGUCAGUAGUCUAACCGCAAGGAGGACGCUGCCGAAGGUGGGAUUAGCGACUGGGGUGAAGUCGUAACAAGGUAUC
RNAcentral lists this ribosomal RNA (243 nucleotides) under uncultured bacterium. RNAcentral describes it as "partial 16S ribosomal RNA". It matches the Rfam family "Bacterial small subunit ribosomal RNA", at positions 1257 to 1500 of the family's 1533-position model. The record is from RNAcentral.